GACGAACGCUGGCGGCGCGCUUAACACAUGCAAGUCGAACGGAAAGGCCUGCUUUCCCUUGUGGAUUGCGAGUACUCGAGUGGCGAACGGGUGAGUAACACGUGAGUGAUCUGCCCCCAACUUGGGUAUAAGCCUGGGAAACUGGGUCUAAUUCCCGAUAGGACUGCAGGGUGGUGCCUGUGGUGGAAAACGAUUUUCUAGUGGUUGGGGAUGAGCUCGCGGCCUAUCAGCUUGUUGGUGGGGUAAUGGCCUACCAAGGCGGCGACGGGUAGCCGGCCUGAGAGGGUGGACGGGCACAUUGGGACUGAGAUACGGCCCAGACUCCUACGGGAGGCAGCAGUGGGGAAUAUUGCACAAUGGGCGGAAGCCUGAUGCAGCGACGCCGCGUGGGGGAUGACGGCCUUCGGGUUGUAAACUCCUUUCGACCGCGAGGAAGCCACCUGGUUGGAAGGGUGGUGACGGUAGUGGUAGAAGAAGCACCGGCUAACUACGUG
This 494-nucleotide ribosomal RNA is filed under the name uncultured bacterium. RNAcentral's name for it is "partial 16S ribosomal RNA". It matches the Rfam family "Bacterial small subunit ribosomal RNA", at positions 28 to 507 of the family's 1533-position model. The record is from RNAcentral.